GUGAACAGUGUGUGUGUGUAGGGAGGUGUGAGGGAUGAUGGAAAAUUAUACCUUUUACUGAUGACUCUGCAGUAGGACUUCAGAAGACAUCUCACUAUUUGACCUGUGCAGUUUGUGAUUUUUCUGUCUGAUACGUGACUUCAAAGCUUCCUGCUUCUUUCUCUGAUCUUUAACGCCCAAUCUCAACUUUACUCCUGAAUAAAAGCAACAGAAUUUUUUUAAAAAACACCACUAAGCAUCAGAUGGACUUGUGUCUGUCUAAGCUUAGGAAAGAACCAGGACAAACUAAGC
Molecule: long non-coding RNA, 291 nt
Filed under: Chrysolophus pictus (golden pheasant)
Lineage: Eukaryota; Metazoa; Chordata; Aves; Galliformes; Phasianidae
Description: lncRNA (ENSCPIG00010005656.1)
Source: RNAcentral